AACGAACGCUGGCGGCAUGCCUAACACAUGCAAGUCGAACGAGACCUUCGGGUCUAGUGGCGCACGGGUGCGUAACGCGUGGGAACCUGCCCUUAGGUUCGGAAUAACUCCCCGAAAGGGGUGCUAAUACCGGAUAAUGUCUUCGGACCAAAGAUUUAUCGCCUUUGGAUGGGCCCGCGUUGGAUUAGCUAGUUGGUAGGGUAAAAGCCUACCAAGGCGACGAUCCAUAGCUGGUCUGAGAGGAUGAUCAGCCACACUGGGACUGAGACACAGCCCAGACUCCUACGGGAGGCAGCAGUGGGGAAUAUUGGACAAUGGGCGAAAGCCUGAUCCAGCAAUGCCGCGUGAGUGAUGAAGGCCUUAGGGUUGUAAAGCUCUUUUACCCGGGAUGAUAAUGACAGUACCGGGAGAAUAAGCGCCGGCUAACUCCGUG
Molecule: ribosomal RNA, 433 nt
Filed under: uncultured bacterium
Lineage: Bacteria
Description: partial 16S ribosomal RNA
Rfam family: Bacterial small subunit ribosomal RNA
Source: RNAcentral